AGUAUCUCUGGAGGAUGUUAAAAAGAAGCUACUAAAGUCAGAAGUUAUGAAUUCAGUAGGUCCAGGUACGGGCGAUUGCAGUUCCUGUUGGCCAUUACUAGCCAAUAGUAGCUGUGGAAAGCAGCACAGACUGGGACACCGGAUUGGCCCACAGCCUGGUAUUUGACCACUGCUGCCUUAGGAUGAUCAAGCAAGUCAUUCCAUGUCCUACACAUUAUAGAAGAUUACAGGGAUACAAAACCUCAGACAGAGGAUGUGUCAUAUAUUUUGUUUCUGCUGACUUUGGCAUGUGACAUAUCCUGCUUGUAUGGAUGACAAGCCUGUCCCCUACUGGGGCCAGCUAGAAGAAUCUCAUGAGGGACUACCUCCCAUUGGAGCAAACUGUUUUCCUUCUCAAGCAGAAGCCAGGAGACAUUUACAGUAAAUAGUCCAAGACUGGAAUUCCUGAAAUCUAAAAGAAAGCAGACCGUUAACACAAACUUGUUGGAUCUGGGGAGUGAUGACCUACUGCAACUGUGGAUCUUUAUGUAUCACUCAGAAUGCAACAAUACUAGGAUAUCAUUGAGGAAAUUACAACACUGUUACUCUGCUAUUGUUACUUUUAAUCUGUAGGAAUUUACAUCUCAGAUACCCUCACAUUCUCUAGACCAGGAAUGGGCAAGAGAAACACCCCGCACUCAGAAUCAGGCCUGCCAACCCUUUCAAUCUGGCCCUCCUGUCCCUGCGGCAUGAAACAACACCCCUCAAAGUAGCUGCAGCGGGAGGGACAGAGGCUUUGCACACUGCCCCACCCCCGUCAAAAUUUCUCAGUUCCUAUUGGCCAGAAACUAGCCAAUGGGUGAUUAGAGAUUUUGCUGGGCGUGGAGGCAGUGCAGCACAAUUUCUCAGCUCC
Non-coding RNA from Pelodiscus sinensis (Chinese soft-shelled turtle), 892 nucleotides. NCBI's taxonomy places the organism in Eukaryota, Metazoa, Chordata, Testudines, Trionychidae. The record is from RefSeq and is a predicted model, not a curated record.